This 463-nucleotide ribosomal RNA is filed under the name uncultured bacterium. RNAcentral's name for it is "partial 16S ribosomal RNA". It matches the Rfam family "Bacterial small subunit ribosomal RNA", at positions 28 to 507 of the family's 1533-position model. The record is from RNAcentral.
GAUGAACGCUGACAGAAUGCUUAACACAUGCAAGUCGAUGGGGAAGUGGUGCUUGCACCAUGGUAACCAUGGCGGACGGGUGAGUAACGCGUAAGGAACUUGCCUGCGGGACUGGGAUAACAGCAGGAAACUGCUGAUAAUACCGGAUAAGGUCAUUAAGCUGCAUAGCUUAGUGAUGAAAGGAGACGCCUGCGGAGAGCCUUGCGUCCUAUUAGCUAGUUGGAGGGGUAACGGCCCACCAAGGCGAAGAUAGGUAGCCGGCCUGAGAGGGUGGACGGCCACAAGGGGACUGAGAUACGGCCCUUACUCCUACGGGAGGCAGCAGUGGGGAAUAUUGGACAAUGGGGGCAACCCUGAUCCAGCAAUUCUGUGUGCACGAGGACGGUUUUCGGAUUGUAAAGUGCUUUCAGCAGGGAAGAAGGAAGUGACGGUACCUGCAGAAGAAGCGACGGCUAAAUACGUG